UAGGGAAUCUUCCGCAAUGGGCGAAAGCCUGACGGAGCAACGCCGCGUGAGUGAUGAAGGUCUUCGGAUCGUAAAACUCUGUUAUUAGGGAAGAACAAAUGUGUAAGUAACUAUGCACGUCUUGACGGUACCUAAUCAGAAAGCCACGGCUAACUACGUGCCAGCAGCCGCGGUAAUACGUAGGUGGCAAGCGUUAUCCGGAAUUAUUGGGCGUAAAGCGCGCGUAGGCGGUUUUUUAAGUCUGAUGAGAAAGCCCACGGCUCAACCGUGGAGGGUCAUUGGAAACUGGAAAUCUUGAGUGCAGAAGAGGAGAGUCGAAUUCCAUGUGUAGCGGUGAAAUGCGCAGAGAUAUGGAGGAACCCCAGUGGCGAAUGCGACUUUCUGGUCUGUAAAUGACGCUGCUGUGCGAAAGCGUGGGGAUCAAACAGG
RNAcentral lists this ribosomal RNA (429 nucleotides) under Actinomycetes bacterium. Its description in RNAcentral is "Actinobacteria bacterium partial 16S ribosomal RNA". It matches the Rfam family "Bacterial small subunit ribosomal RNA", at positions 355 to 776 of the family's 1533-position model. The record is from RNAcentral. Lineage: Bacteria; Bacillati; Actinomycetota; Actinomycetes.